CUCUCUCUCUCAGUAGUGCUCCUCGGAGUGGGCGGGGUCACAGAAGAAACGAGAGCUGCGUUUGGCCGAUCGGGCUGUGAAGGGGACGGUCUUCAAAGCUGCAGGAUGGACUCAUCGUCAAUGUCAUUAAAGACGGUCCCAUUGAUCUGACUCGGCUUCAAGGCGACCCAGUUCAACACUGGCAUCCUGAACUUGGUCUGGAUUGGCUUCUUUAUCUUCACCGCUACACAGCAGAGGGAACGACAGUAUCUAAAGCAGCCUGCUGAUUGGUGGAGCUGAAACUCACCUGUGCCUGGCAUUGGUGGUGGGGGCGGGGGAGGUGGCGGGGCUGGCAUUCCUGGAGCUCCGCCCAUCCCUGGUCCCAUGCUGUGGUAGGCUACGGUCUCAGGACUGAGGGAAUCAAUCAGGUGAGCCAUCACUUAAUGGUUUCUGUUCUCCUCCAAGCUAACUCCUGACAUAUUGUUGAUAAUAUUAACCAUAUAUUAAUAUUAACAGUGUUCAGCAGACAGACACAGACUAACACCACGUUGUGUUAAUAAUUACUGCUGGUGAACCUCAGGGCUCCAUUAUAGUUUUCAUUUAUAAAUUCAUCUGUAGGUAGUUCACCUGAAAAACCCCAAACAAAAAUUAUUCACACGUUUCAGAUGUGACAUCUUAAAGGUUCGUUAUGUUUUAGUAAAAGUUUUUUUUUUUUUUUUGGCCACUUGGGGGAAGCAGUGCAAUAAAAAUAUCUGCUCCAUUGUGUUCUCCAGCUAGUAACUGUGACUGCUGUCAGCAGGUAGUCUACACUGGUGUCUCUCACCUGGGGGACAAGUUAGGACAGGGGGGAGGUGAGGGGGAGGCAGAGUCAGCCACCCCCCCAUCCCCCUCUCCUCUCUGUGGUUGUGGUGCUCCAGGUCCUCCGGCCUGCUGGGCCUCCUGAGCCUGACGCUCCAGACGACUCUGACGCCGGAUUGUCUGGUCCUUCUCCCGAACCAUCCGCCGCAAGGUGUGCACCUGAGAGUUAGCACUCGCAUACACCUCCUGCACAGAUCCUUGUUUGUUUGCAUCAGUUGUUUCUCCAGUUCGACGAUCUUCAACAUCGCUUCGUUCUCCACGUCCAGCAGACGCUCCGACAUCUGUACACAGAGAGACAGGCUCUCCUCCAGCUCUUCGACUCGUUCCAGAGCGGCAGUUUUGGUCUCUGCGUCCUCCAGCAGCGUCCCAACAUCAAACACGUUGUCCAGACAAGCCGCGAGUUCUUCAGAGUUCGACGACUCGGCAGAGUGUUGGAUCGAGUCACCAGAGUGGAACUACGGACACAGAGAGACGUCCUCAGAGGGUCAGAGUGGACUUUAUCUGAUGAGUGGAUCCUUUUAUUUUUACAUUUGUUACCUGAUGGAAUGGCGUGCUGCGCGGGGUACGGAGGACGAUGGGGACGGGAGGCUACAGUCGCCAUGGAGAUCCUCUAUGGACCGACUCCACGGAGAGUCUAUGGACGAGACCUCGCCUCCGGUCUCUGACUGCUCGCCAUCAAAUCUGAACACACAAACAACAGCUUAAAGGGUUCAUAACAUAUAUAAUGAUUUAUAGAGAAUAUAAUGAAAGAUAAUAUACUGUUAUACAUACAUAUAUAUGUAUAUACUGUACACAGUGAGACUUACGUGACGGCGUACUGAGCGAAGGACAAAUACUCGACCAGAACAUCCAGACCUCGAUUCUCCUCAUUCAGAAAUUCUCUGACCCACCUAUAGAGAGACAGACAGGUCAGAUAGACAGACAUGUAGGAAUGUUAAUUAAUCUUUAUGUCAUCACAAACAAGAUUUCUUCAUGUGAAUAAAGGACAUCAGAGGUCCAAUUUAUAAUCAUUUAUUAAUAAUAACAAAAACAGGUGGUCAGACAGACGGCGGUCAGAUAGACAGGUGGUUAGACAGACCCGAUGUGGUUUGUGCGAAGUGAAAUCUCGAGCUCUCUGAGCAUCUGAGUUGACUCCUGAACUCUUCUUCUGAACUUCUGCAGACAGACAGACACGUUUUUUUAAAAACAACUGUUCAAAUACAAAAAUACUGUGACAAUCCAUUAAAGUGUGACAUCAUAGCUGA
This is a long non-coding RNA of Morone saxatilis (striped sea-bass), 2081 nucleotides long. RefSeq lists it as uncharacterized. The record is from RefSeq and is a predicted model, not a curated record. NCBI's taxonomy places the organism in Eukaryota, Metazoa, Chordata, Actinopteri, Moronidae. The transcript is spliced from 6 exons.